UACGUAGGGUGCGAGCGUUGUCCGGAAUCACUGGGCGUAAAGCGCACGUAGGCGGAUCUUUAAGUCAGGGGUGAAAUCCUGGAGCUCAACUCCAGAACUGCCUUUGAUACUGGGGAUCUCGAGUCCGGGAGAGGUGAGUGGAACUCCGAGUGUAGAGGUGAAAUUCGUAAAUAUUCGGAAGAACACCAGUGGCGAAGGCGGCUCACUGGCCCGGUACUGACGCUGAGGUGCGAAAGCGUGGGGAGCAAACAGG
This 253-nucleotide ribosomal RNA is filed under the name uncultured bacterium. Its description in RNAcentral is "partial 16S ribosomal RNA". It matches the Rfam family "Bacterial small subunit ribosomal RNA", at positions 524 to 776 of the family's 1533-position model. The record is from RNAcentral.